Erinaceus europaeus (western European hedgehog) is the source of this 164-nucleotide small nuclear RNA. Its record names the gene U1. It matches the Rfam family "U1 spliceosomal RNA". Rfam says of the family: U1 is a small nuclear RNA (snRNA) component of the spliceosome (involved in pre-mRNA splicing). Its 5' end forms complementary base pairs with the 5' splice junction, thus defining the 5' donor site of an intron. There are significant differences in sequence and secondary structure between metazoan and yeast U1 snRNAs, the latter being much longer (568 nucleotides as compared to 164 nucleotides in human). The record is from Ensembl. NCBI's taxonomy places the organism in Eukaryota, Metazoa, Chordata, Mammalia, Eulipotyphla, Erinaceidae.
AUACUUACCUGGCAGGGGGGAUACCAUCAUCACGAAGGUGGUUUUCACAGGGCAAGGCUUAUCCAUUGCACUCCGGAUGUGCUGACCCCUGCGAUUUCCCCAAAUAGGGGAAAUUAGACUGCAUAAUUUGUGGUAGUGGGGGACUGUAUCCGCACUCUCCUCUA